GGAUUGAUGAUGACUUCACCAUAAACAUUCCUUGGAAAAGCUGAACAAAACGAGUGAAAACUCAUUACCGUUGCUCUCAUUGAAACUGAGGUCC
Tupaia belangeri (northern tree shrew) is the source of this 94-nucleotide small nucleolar RNA. Its record names the gene SNORD116. It matches the Rfam family "Small nucleolar RNA SNORD116". Rfam says of the family: HBII-85 is a member of the C/D class of snoRNAs, which contain the C (UGAUGA) and D (CUGA) box motifs. HBII-85 is encoded in a tandemly repeated array with another C/D snoRNA, HBII-52, in the Prader-Willi syndrome (PWS) region of chromosome 15. Unlike most other snoRNAs, HBII-85 is expressed prevalently in the brain (but is absent in PWS patients) and lacks any significant complementarity with ribosomal RNA. The record is from Ensembl. Lineage: Eukaryota; Metazoa; Chordata; Mammalia; Scandentia; Tupaiidae.